AGAGUUUGAUCCUGGCUCAGGACGAACGCUGGCGGCGUGCUUAACACAUGCAAGUCGAGCGGUAAGGCCUUUCGGGGUACACGAGCGGCGAACGGGUGAGUAACACGUGGGUGAUCUGCCCUGCACUCUGGGAUAAGCUUGGGAAACUGGGUCUAAUACCGGAUAUGACCGCAUGCCGCAUGGUGUGUGGUGGAAAGAUUUAUCGGUGCAGGAUGGGCCCGCGGCCUAUCAGCUUGUUGGUGGGGUAGUGGCCUACCAAGGCGACGACGGGUAGCCGACCUGAGAGGGUGACCGGCCACACUGGGACUGAGACACGGCCCAGACUCCUACGGGAGGCAGCAGUGGGGAAUAUUGCACAAUGGGCGGAAGCCUGAUGCAGCGACGCCGCGUGAGGGAUGAAGGCCUUCGGGUUGUAAACCUCUUUCAGCAGGGACGAAGCGUGAGUGACGGUACCUGCAGAAGAAGCGCCGGCUAACUACGUGCCAGCAGCCGCGGUAAUACGUAGGGUGCGAGCGUUGUCCGGAAUUACUGGGCGUAAAGAGUUCGUAGGCGGUUUGUCGCGUCGUUUGUGAAAACCCGGGGCUCAACUUCGGGCUUGCAGGCGAUACGGGCAGACUUGAGUGUUUCAGGGGAGACUGGAAUUCCUGGUGUAGCGGUGAAAUGCGCAGAUAUCAGGAGGAACACCGGUGGCGAAGGCGGGUCUCUGGGAAACAACUGACGCUGAGGAACGAAAGCGUGGGUAGCAAACAGGAUUAGAUACCCUGGUAGUCCACGCCGUAAACGGUGGGCGCUAGGUGUGGGUUCCUUCCACGGGAUCUGUGCCGUAGCUAACGCAUUAAGCGCCCCGCCUGGGGAGUACGGCCGCAAGGCUAAAACUCAAAGGAAUUGACGG
RNAcentral lists this ribosomal RNA (892 nucleotides) under uncultured bacterium. Its description in RNAcentral is "bacterial SSU rRNA". It matches the Rfam family "Bacterial small subunit ribosomal RNA", at positions 8 to 916 of the family's 1533-position model. The record is from RNAcentral.